UUUUAGGGGCGCAUCUGCGGCAUGUAGAGGUUCCCAGGCUAGGGGUCUAAUCGGAGCUAUAGGGGCCGGCCUAUGCCACAGCCACAGCAAUGCCAGAUUUGAGCUGUGUCUGUGACCUAUAUGUCCUGCAAUGCUGGAUCCUUGACCAACUGAGUGAGGCCAGGGAUCGAACCCGCAACCUCAUGGUUCCUAGUCAGAUUCUUUUCUGCUGCACCACAAUGGGAACUCCCCUUUUUGACCUAUUUCAUGGGUCCUAAGCUAGUCACCCAUUAGGGCAGUAUUCACAGCAGUUGCACACAAAUAUUGAGAAAAAUUUUGCAAUAUUAAGCAAUAUGGUUGAUUUAGAUUUAUAUUUAUGUAGGUAUAGGCAAAAUGUGGGAAGUUUGUUGCCAUUCUUUAUAUUGGCAACUAUAUGGAUAUUGAAUGCUAGAAUUGCAAAUAGUUUUAUUCUAAUAAGAUAUUUGAUGACAUUUGAUUAAACUUUCAAAAAGUUAAAAAUUAUCUUUCAGUCAUUUUUAUUUAAAAUUUUGAUAUUCAUCAAAUUUGUAUUUUAAAAUAGAAUCUUUCCCUUUUAAUAAUAAUGGAUAAUUAGAUUGUCUCAAGUGAUCGAAUGCAAAUUACAUGAGUCCUAAUUAUAAUAACAUAAUUAGUAAUUUCUUUGAAAUAAAAGUGGGAAAUUAAUGUAUAUCUUUAUUUUAUUCCUCAUCCAAACACUGUCAGCCCAUCAGUGGAACACACAGAUAUAAUAAAUACAAUUGUUUUUGUUUAUUGUUAGUUAUAUAAAAAUCAUAGCUUUACACAUAGUAUUCAAGUUUGUCUUUAUAAAGGUCUAUUCAUCAAGGUAGAAGCCUAGAACGUAUUUACUGUUGGUUUACAUUUUGGCAUCUAAAUAAUUGGAAUGUUGUUGGGGGCCUUCAUCUCUGCUCACUCUGGCUCUCAAAUGUUAGGAUUGGGACUGGCCUAGGGGUGGUCGGGGCCAGAGUUUUGGUGGGUGGGGUGGAUUUAAGGAAGUGUUUUCAAGAGACAAGGGCCCAUGGGUGAAAGCAUUGAGGAAGGAGAGCCCAGUGCAGGUGGAGGCCGAGGGGCGUGGAAAACUGAGAGGAUGAUGGACGGUAGAUGGCAUAUCUACUCUGAUCUUACGGCAUUCCUGGGGCUUGCAUGGUGUCCAGCACAUAGUUAAUGUAUUUAAUAUGUGUCGAAUGAAUGAAAGAAGGAAUUUGGAUUCUAUACUCUAUAUAAUGUGGAACCAUUUAGUUUGAGGAGAGGGGACAGAAUCAGAAGUGUAUUGUAGAAAGAUAACUGACAAUGGAAUCUAAAAUUUAUUUGAAAGCUUAGCUGCUGGAAGAAGAAAGAUGAAUUUCUUUACUUACAUGUUACUAAUUUAUAUAUAUUGUGAUUCUUUAUUUCCUGAACAUUCAAAUAUGGAUAUCUAAAAUUAGACACUAAUCUGGCCUAACCAGGCAUUUAACAGUCCAUGAAACCCCAGGGCCUUGCUAUCUGAUACAAUGAACAUCAUCUAUAUGUGCCUUUUGAACAGCUGAAUUGUGGCUAGUUGAAAAUGUCCUGAAGUGUAAAAAGCACACCAGAUAUUUCAAAGAUCUAAUACAAAAUAAAAUGGUAGAAAAUCUUGUUAGUAAUAUUUUACAAAUCGAUUACAUAUUAAAAUAUGAAUAUUUUGGAUAUAUGUAAACUAAAAUAUUGAAAUUAAUUUCAUUUGUUUUUUGUCAUUUUUUAAAAUGUGGCUACUAGAAAUGCAAUGUGCCUUGCAUUUUCAGCUUGCAUUAUAUUUUAUCAGGUGGCACUGCCCUAGUGGAUGCCAACUUUGUAUAACUCUUUAGCAGUUGUGACCCCAAAACAAUGCACAUCAAUUGCAAAGGGAAGGUGCAAAUGUUCCAAGUGAUGCAGAAGUUGAUAGAGCCACUGGAAGUGGUACUAAACUUCCCAGAUCACCAGUAAAGUCUUGUCAGUGUAGAAUUUAGCAGAGUUGGACCAGUGAAACACAAAGGAAGAGAAAACUAACAAGGACAUCAAUUCAAAGAAAGUAAUUGAAUAUUAUAAGAGGACCUUGUAGAAACCUAUGAAAUCUUUGAAUACUUUUUGCAACAAUGAUAGUCAUGAUUAAGCCGCAAAAAUUAAACAGAAAAAGAAUAUCUCAUCACACAUCAAAAAGAGCAAACAAUAAGGCUCAUUCAAAGAAUUUGAAGAAUUAGUGCAGAGUUGUAAAGGUAAACAGCAUUUUGCUGUGAGGUAGAUCAAAUUUCAUAGGUUGUAGUUUUAUUUUUAAAUAUAAAAUCCUAAAGUUCCUGGUGGCCUAGCAGUUAAGGAUCUGGCAUUGUCAUUGCUAUAGGACAAGCCACUGCUGUGGCACAGGUUCAUUUCCUGGCCAGGAACUUCUGCACACCACAGGCACAGCCAAAACAAACAAACAACAAACAAACAAACAUAAAAUCCCAAUUCAACUGGUUUUCAUUAUUUACUACCAUAUUUAGUUUCUGAUUUUAAUUACAUGUAAAUACAUGAAAAAUAUUUAGAUGGCUGGUUAAUAAAAAGGAAUCUCAUACACACACACAUAGUAUACAACAAUUUCCUUUAGUUUAAACCAUAAAAGCAGAGUUUUGUUUUGCAUAGUCUGAGGGGUUUUAACCAGCAGUUGGCUUUUAGGGCCUUGGUCUUUCGAGUAUGUGUCCACUAUUCAGAGCCCCAGGUAUCUUUCUCAUGUAUCUCUUUGUUUACAAUCUUCAUUUUUACUUUCUUAUAAGCAGAGUGAGAACUGAUAGAUAUCUAGAGAUUUGAAUACUUUAAUCCCAAUCUUUUACAAUCAUCAUACCCACAAUUAAUUUGACGGAGACUCUUCAGUGUUUCACCUUCAUUCAUUCACAGCAUUUAACUUAGUUUUCAUUGUAGCAAUUUUCGUUUUGCCUUAAAUACUCUUUUUAUUAAUUUAAUGUUCAGUUGAUUAGUAUUUAAAUUCCAUAAGGACAGUUGUAAUAUGUAUAAUCAGGUUUGGGAACAAAUAUGAUGGAUUCUCUUGGGGUCCAUGACUCACCUGGUGGGAGCAGAAGUGUGCAGGUGUUGUGAGCAUUCGUUGUGCUGUGGCAUCCUUUUGCUUGCUGUGCACCUCACCAGGAAUGACAGGUAUCUGUUACCGGAUGAGUCAGCUAAAUGGAGGUUGGUUAAGAAACUUUCCACUGUAACGUCACAGUGUAUUUGGAGGGGGUCAAUUAUCCGAUAAAUGACAAGAUUUCCUUACUUUGAACAUCUGGAAACCCCUAGGAAAGUACAGUGUCUGGAAAGAGCAUGGAGAAACCAAGAUCUAGCCCCAACCCGCCUAUAAGUAUUCCAUAGUACUAUUUAAAAGCCAGAUAGAACACCAGCUUUUACUCUAUUCUCAAUAUGAUCUUACUCUUUACAUCUAUCUAAGACACAGAUCUCACAUACAGGGUCAUGAAAACACAUACAUACACUUAUGGAUCUGAAAUUUUAUCAGAGUCAGCCUGAUAAAUACACAUUAAUAAAAAUAUUAGCAGAAGGGAGUGUUUCAUUUAUUUAAUUUUGUAAAUAUGAAAAACAACAAACAAUAUCCUCAGAGAAAGAGAAAAUUCUUUGUAUGUACAUAGUAAGGUAUUUAAUAAAUACAUGAUGAAUCAUGUACAGGCUGAAAUAUUUCUGCCAGUUCAUAUUAAAUCUGUUCAUUCUACAGACUUGUGGUUGCUAAGGGGGAAGGGAAGGGCAUGGGAUAGACUUGGGAUCUGGGGUUAAUAGAUGCAAACUUACUGCCUUUGGAAUGGAUAAGCAAUGUGAUCUUGCUGUAUAGCACUGGGGACUAUAUCUAGUCACUUAUGAUGGAGGAUAAUGUGAGAAAAAGAAUGUAUAUAUGUAUGUAUGACUGGGUCUCUUUGCUGUAGUGUAGAAAACUGAGAGAACACUGUAAACCAGCUAUAAUGGAAAAAAUAAAAAUCAUUUAAAAAUAAAU
RNAcentral lists this long non-coding RNA (3973 nucleotides) under Sus scrofa (pig). Its description in RNAcentral is "lncRNA (ENSSSCG00015077301.1)". The record is from RNAcentral. Lineage: Eukaryota; Metazoa; Chordata; Mammalia; Artiodactyla; Suidae.